CAAUUUGAGAGGCUGCUGUCACGCACCCUGCGCACAGAAGCGACCAGCCGUGCGCCUUCUUCAUGAGCGCGGACAGCGGGCACGGGUUCAACACUGCACUGAGCUGGACAGGAUGCUGACGGACAGAUGGAAACAGACACAGUCUCUGCCAUAGAACAGAGGGUCCACCCGUACAGCAAGUGCGUAAGGGGGAGAAGUAUUCGCCGGCACUCUAGGGCUGCAUCCCUGUCUUCAGAGGGGACAGCAUGGACAUAACAGUUACCGUUAAAAUGAUAGUCUCACAAAUUCGAUCCUAACAAGAGGGAAUUUGCGGGAAAGUGCGAACGAAGGAUUUUACCGGCUUGUCUGCGAUUUGUUUUAUAGCCUAGCACUUCGAUAAGUUGCUCGGGAGAAUGGAAAAGCCCACCCAGCCUCAGCUGCAGUCGAGCAUAUCCAAGAGCGCAGAAGGUCCCUCAGAGGACCUCUCCAAACUUACGGAUGAGGAGCUUCUGAAAUGGAGCAAGGAGGAGCUGGUUCGCCGGCUCCGCAGAGCCGAAGCGGAGAAGAUGAGCGUCAUAGUGGACCACAGCAAUCUCAUCCGAGAGGUGAACCGCAGGCUUCAGCAGCAUCUCACCGAAAUACGGGGGCUGAAGGACGUGAAUCAGAAGCUGCAAGAGGACAACCAGGAGCUGCGGGACCUCUGCUGCUUUCUGGAUGAUGACCGGCAGAAAGGGAAAAAGGUGUCGAGGGAGUGGCAGCGCCUGGGCCGCUACAGUGCAGGGAUCAUGCGUAAGGAGGUGACGCUUUACCUGCAAAAGCUAAAAGAGCUGGAGCAGAGGCAGGAGGAAGUGGUGAGGGAGAACCUUGAACUGAGAGAGCUGUGCCUCAUGCUGGAUGAGGAGAAGGGCUCUGGAGGUACCGGCGGGUCAGCGGGUACCGGGGGACCAGCCGGCUGCAGGAAUUCAAUCGAUAGCCAGAGCAGCCUGUCUCACGCUAGCGGCCCUGGGCCUGGCCUACUAAGGGAUGUGGGUGACGGGAGCAGUACCUCCAGCGCGGGCAGCACCGACAGCCCUGACCAUCUCACACAUAAGCAGCAGCUGUUGGGUGGCCCGGUUGGAGGCAGUCCUGAUCACCUACAUAAGCCAGGCUCAGGGGAGGAGGCAACGGGUCCUGAGCAAGCAAGCCGCAGACAUAGCACCAGCCAGGAGUACGGAGCGCAUACCUUUCCCCAGGUGUGCCGGUCACGCUGUGGGUCCUUCUCCAGUCCGGAUCAUAAGGGCCUGCGGGGUCUCAGUCCAGACAAACUUGGCAAGAGAGGCAGCCCAGAGCAGUUCUCAAAACACUUGCUGGUGUCCUCUCAGCCACCUGGCAGCCCUGAUCUUUUCCAGAAGCACAGGGGUAGCAUGGGUAGCGUGUGUGGGAGCCUAGAACCCAAACAGAUUCUAUCAGGGACACCGGAGCACCUACAGAAGGGCCGUGUCAUAUCUGGGAGCCCUGAGUUGUUGAGGCAUCAGCAUGGCAAGUUUGGCAGCCCCGGCCGAGAGGUGGCACAGAAGAGGCCGGGCGUAGAGGAGAUGUCCCCUCAUCACCGGAGCAUCUAUAGCGGUAUGAAUGGUGGGUCCGAUUGGAGCCUGCUGUAGCACCCACAAUGAGAUACACGGAGUCCCAUUUGAGUACACCACACGCAGAGGGGAUGGUCAUCCUUCAUCCUGGAGCCAGCAAAGCCCCAAUUCCCAGCCAGGCACUAAACCAUCCCAUUCAGCCAGCCAUGAUCUGCAUUUAGUCUAGUUUUGCUUUGCUCAGUUCAGGAGAGGCAAUGGCCAUAUAGAGCAGGGGCUUUAGUGUCUGGCUAGAGCACAACAUCUCAUCUCUGGUAAAGGUCGGUGGUGUCCAGUCUUGGUCCUCUCGGGCCAUGAUUUUAGCAGGCUUUAGCUGCCUCCUAUCAAUCAGCCUCUGUACCUGUGCCUCCGAAGCCAUUUUUAUAUGCUCUGGAACCCAGCUGAGGGAACACUGUAAUCUGUCAAUCAAUGAAAGACCAAAAUGCUCAGAGGCCCAACAAAAGCCAGAAGACAGUGCUGCCCAGGAGGACCAGGAGUGGACACCAUUGUAUUUGCCAUAUGCACGCAGCUCUGAUAUCGGCUGGCUGUUGCACCAGCUCCUGUAGAAGUGUCAAGCUUUGGGACAGUUUUGAUACCUCCUGACCAUUGCCUUGACUGGAUCCAGUGGUGGAGCCCUGGCUAUGAAAGAGGAUCCCUGUUGCUUUCAUUUAUCUUGCACUGACAGAAAUGGAAGAUGAGGAUGAAAAACCUGAGUGAAGGACAAAAAUGUUUUUGCAGCAGCCAGUGUCUCUCGUCCCCCUCCCUAACCACGCUGGUUUCUGCUGGUCUCCCAAUACAACUUACAGCCCUGCAAAACAACCGAGGCCUGGAGGAGGGAUCGUUUAGGAUUUAAACAGCUGGAAAUAACACGAUUGCCAAAAGGAUUUUUUCAAAUGGGAGAUUUAAUCAUCUCUCUUUUGCCAACAAAAUAGACCUACCUCCUUUGAACGGAAGCAGACGAAACAAAAAAGUUUGAAAUGGGACUGAAAGGUUUUUGUUUACAGUCGCCACAAACCACACAAUCAGUUCACACUGCAAAAAAUAAAAAUAAAAAUAAAAAUAAAUUUAUAUAUAUAUACACGACCAGUCAAAAGUUUUUGAACAGUACAAUUUUUUUUUUUUAAAGAAGUCUCUUCCGCUCACCAAGCUUGCAUUUAUUUGAAGCAGUAUACAGCAAAAGCAGUAAUAUUUUGAUUUUUUUUUACUAUUUAAAAUAACUGCGUUCCUUUUGAAUAUAUUUUAAAAUGAAAUUUAUUGCUGAAAUUUAUAAGCUAAAUUUUCAGCAUCAUUAGUCCAGUCAGUGUCAUAUGAUCCUUUAGAAAUCAUUCUAAUAGGUUGAUAUGCUGUUGAAGAAACAUUUAUUGUUAUUAUUAUUAUUAUCAUCAAUUUUUAAAUCAGUUGAGUACAUUUUUUUCAGGAUUCUUUGAUGAAUAGAGAAAUCCAAAGAUCAACAUUUAUCCGAAAUAACAUGCAUUUAUAAUGUUACAAAAUAUUUCUAUUUCAGAUAAAUGCUGUUCUUCUGAAAUUUUUAUUCAUCAAAGAAACCUGAAAAAUUCUACUCAGCUGUUUUUUUUUUAACAUAAUAAUGAUAAAUGUUUUUUUGAGCAGCAAAUCAGAAUAUUAGAAUGAUUUCUGAAGGAUCAUGUGACUGGAGUAAUAAUGCAAAAAAAAAUCAGCUUUGAAAUCAAAGGAGUAAAUUACAUUUUAUAAUAUAUUCAAAUAAAAAAGUUAUGUUAAAUAGUACAAAUAUUUUUAAAUUGUACUGUUCUUGCUGUACUUUGGAUCAAAUAACUACAGGCUUGGUGAGCAGAAGAGAUGCCUCUUAAAAAAAAAUUGACUGGUAGUGUAUAUAUAUAAUUUUAUGUAUUUAUUAUUAUUAUUAUUAUUUAUUUUUUUUGCAGUGUGACAACAUUUUGCACACACAGGCAGAUACCUAUUACCAAACCUUUUGCCUCUAAGAACAAGGGCAUUUCUUAAGCUGUUGAGCAAUACUGAAUGUCAGUGGCUCACGAGUAUCAAAUUUUAUCUUAAAUCUGAAUGAUAAUGACGAAGUCGUAUCAAUCACUGCCUGGCUUUCAUUAGGACCUGUGUGAAAACAGUUAAUUUACUAUGUUGACUAUAUGGCCAUGUGUAAAGUACGGUAGUUAAACACUUAACUAUCUAUAGUCGCUAAAGCUGAAAGUCAAAGUGGGAGGCGUCCUAAAACACCCCUCCUGUCUCUCAAUAUCCCAUUACUGAUCUGUUCGUAGAUGCAGUGUUGUGAUGUAAAAGAAGCACAUAGAAAGCUGCUGCUGCACCCGAGACUUGUGUAGCCAGACGCUUUAGGCUUCCAUUGUGUCGAGUCCUCUUGCGUCUGGUGUUUCUGCCCUCACUGCUGCUGAAAUCAAGCGGCCCAAUCACAAAGCUCAGAUAUCUUGACCAUUUCAAUGCUUUGUGAAAUUGCCAAACCCAUUUUAUGGUUCACCACUAAAAUGGGAUUUUUUUCUCCGUCUGUCUGUGGAUUCAAAAGGAAGAGGUGGCUCUAUGGCUCUGUUAGAGUCUAGAUGUGCUUGCCCUCAGUGUUCACUGUUUUUGGACCUUAACUGAGAGGUAAAACUCAGAGACUUGUCAUCCCACUGGACUACAUUGACCAUCAUGCCUCUCUUCGUACCAGGUAUUUAACUGAAUCUAUUCUGGCUUUCAGUACUUAUUUGUUCCAGGUACUGUUGCGUUUCACUUGAGAGGUCUUCAUAGUUUAUAUUUGUUCCCUGACUGAACGUAACGCACAUCUCGCAAACCAUCAAUCCUUCUGUAUACCGUCAGUAUUAAAAACAGCAAAAGUUACUUGAUAAGCUCAUUAACCUGUGAUUUUUUUAUUUUUGUUGACAGAUUAUGAAACAGAACAAAUAUUAAUAUAUAAAAACCUUUAUGUUUUUAAAAAGUAAAGAGUAGUUUAAGGCUUAGUUUUUUAUAUAUGAUAACUAUAAUUAUUAUUUUUGACGUACUGGUAUUAUGGAAUCUAUAAAUAUUAUAC
RNA transcript from Labeo rohita (rohu), 4590 nucleotides. It is a transcript of the gene named coiled-coil domain containing 85A, with no coding region annotated. Lineage: Eukaryota; Metazoa; Chordata; Actinopteri; Cypriniformes; Cyprinidae. The transcript is spliced from 4 exons. The record is from RefSeq and is a predicted model, not a curated record.